Molecule: transfer-messenger RNA, 352 nt
Filed under: Rhodobacter sp.
Lineage: Bacteria; Pseudomonadati; Pseudomonadota; Alphaproteobacteria; Rhodobacterales
Rfam family: Alphaproteobacteria transfer-messenger RNA
About the family: Bacterial tmRNA, also known as 10Sa RNA or SsrA, is named for its dual tRNA and mRNA-like properties. Its role is to liberate the mRNA from a stalled ribosome.
Source: RNAcentral
GCGCUUGCGGACGCGUCGAGCAUGUACUAUAGAUAGGAUGUCGUUUGACGACUAUGGCGAUAAACGCGCACGGAAUAAGCGGAUCGGACCCGGGGGCGGUACCCGGCGGCUCCACCAAGACCCGUCGUUGGAGGGACCAUGGGGCCGAAACAGGAUCGACGGACGUGUAAAGGUGUUUGCUUUCGCCCGGUUAGGCACCACCGUUAUCGGUCCACAAAGCAUAAUUGCCAACGACAAUCAUGCUCCGGUCGCUCUCGCCGCGUAACGCGGCGCGAAAGACCGAUUUCUGAAGUCCCCGGCUCUAGCCAGUCGGGGCGGGGUCUGCAGGCGCCCGGCAACAGAAGCCUGCAUU